GAUGAACGCUAGCGGCAGGCCUAAUACAUGCAAGUCGGACGGGAUUCAGGAGCUUGCUUCUGAUGAGAGUGGCGCACGGGUGCGUAACACGUAUGUAACCUACCUUUAUCAGGGGGAUAGCCUCUCGAAAGAGAGAUUAAGCCCGCAUAAAAUCACAGCACAGCAUUGUGUAAUGAUCAAAUAUUUAUAGGAUAAAGAUGGGCAUGCGGAACAUUAGCUAGAUGGCGGGGUAACGGCCCACCAUGGCGACGAUGUUUAGGGGAUCUGAGAGGAUGGCCCCCCACACUGGUACUGAGACCCGGACCAGACUCCUACGGGAGGCAGCAGUAAGGAAUAUUGGGCAAUGGGCGGUAGCCUGAACCAGCCAUGCCGCGUGCAGGAAGACGGCCCUACGGGUUGUAAACUGCUUUUAUACGGGAAUAAACCCAGAUACGUGUAUCUGGCUGAAUGUACUGUAAGAAUAAGGAUCGGCUAACUCCGUG
This 482-nucleotide ribosomal RNA is filed under the name uncultured bacterium. Its description in RNAcentral is "partial 16S ribosomal RNA". It matches the Rfam family "Bacterial small subunit ribosomal RNA", at positions 28 to 507 of the family's 1533-position model. The record is from RNAcentral.